RNAcentral lists this unclassified non-coding RNA (23 nucleotides) under Mus musculus (house mouse). RNAcentral's name for it is "oocyte_clustered_small_RNA3820". Lineage: Eukaryota; Metazoa; Chordata; Mammalia; Rodentia; Muridae. The record is from RNAcentral.
UGAGAGGCGGGACAUCUUCUUGG